This 423-nucleotide ribosomal RNA is filed under the name uncultured bacterium. RNAcentral describes it as "bacterial SSU rRNA". It matches the Rfam family "Bacterial small subunit ribosomal RNA", at positions 102 to 518 of the family's 1533-position model. The record is from RNAcentral.
ACGGGUGAGUAACGCGUAUGCAACCUACCUAUACAGGAGGGGAAUAACCCGGCGAAAGUCGGACUAAUACCGCAUAAAACAGGGGCACCGCAUGGUGAUAUUUGUUAAAGAAAUUCGCUGAUAGAUGGGCAUGCGUUCCAUUAGGUAGUUGGUGAGGUAACGGCUCACCAAGCCGACGAUGGAUAGGGGAACUGAGAGGUUGGUCCCCCACACUGGUACUGAGACACGGACCAGACUCCUACGGGAGGCAGCAGUGAGGAAUAUUGGUCAAUGGGCGGGAGCCUGAACCAGCCAAGUCGCGUGAAAAGGAAGAAGGAUCUAUGGUUCGUAAACUUCUUUUGCGAGGGGAAUAAAGUGCAGGACGUGUCCUGUUUUGUAUGUACCCUGAGAAUAAGGAUCGGCUAACUCCGUGCCAGCAGCUGC